Long non-coding RNA from Orcinus orca (killer whale), 151 nucleotides. RefSeq lists it as uncharacterized. NCBI's taxonomy places the organism in Eukaryota, Metazoa, Chordata, Mammalia, Artiodactyla, Delphinidae. The transcript is spliced from 3 exons. The record is from RefSeq and is a predicted model, not a curated record.
CAAAGGAAACUUUAUAUUUUGAUCAGAGAAUGGAGAGUUAGAAUCAUCAUACCUGAAUCCACUCAUUAUGCUGCUACGGGCCUGAUGACAUAGAUUUCAUUGCUGAGUGAUAUUGCUUUUUAGAAUCAUCAUACCUGAAUCCACUCAUUUU